Molecule: ribosomal RNA, 492 nt
Filed under: uncultured bacterium
Lineage: Bacteria
Description: partial 16S ribosomal RNA
Rfam family: Bacterial small subunit ribosomal RNA
Source: RNAcentral
AGUGAACGCUGGCGAUAGGCCUAACACAUGCAAGUCGAACGGCAGCACAGUAAGAGCUUGCUCUUACGGGUGGCGAGUGGCGGACGGGUGAGGAAUACAUCGGAAUCUACUUUUUCGUGGGGGAUAACGUAGGGAAACUUACGCUAAUACCGCAUACGACCUACGGGUGAAAGCAGGGGAUCUUCGGACCUUGCGCGAUUGAAUGAGCCGAUGUCGGAUUAGCUAGUUGGCGGGGUAAAGGCCCACCAAGGCGACGAUCCGUAGCUGGUCUGAGAGGAUGAUCAGCCACACUGGAACUGAGACACGGUCCAGACUCCUACGGGAGGCAGCAGUGGGGAAUAUUGGACAAUGGGCGCAAGCCUGAUCCAGCCAUACCGCGUGUGUGAAGAAGGCCUUCGGGUUGUAAAGCCCUUUUGUUGGGAAAGAAAAGCAGCAGGUUAAUACCCCGCUGUUCUGACGGUACCCAAAGAAUAAGCACCAGCUAACUUCGUG